AUGUAGCCAAGUGGAUCAAGGCAGKGGAUUUGA
Molecule: transfer RNA, 33 nt
Filed under: Inga leiocalycina
Lineage: Eukaryota; Viridiplantae; Streptophyta; Magnoliopsida; Fabales; Fabaceae
Description: partial tRNA-His
Source: RNAcentral